Transfer RNA from Fusarium fujikuroi IMI 58289, 72 nucleotides. It matches the Rfam family "tRNA". From Rfam's summary of the family: Transfer RNA (tRNA) molecules are approximately 80 nucleotides in length. Their secondary structure includes four short double-helical elements and three loops (D, anti-codon, and T loops). The record is from Rfam. NCBI's taxonomy places the organism in Eukaryota, Fungi, Ascomycota, Sordariomycetes, Hypocreales, Nectriaceae.
GCCUCUAUAGCUCAGCGGUAGAGCGUUGCACUUGUAAUGCAAAGGUCCAUCGUUCAAUCCGGUGUGGAGGCA